AAGAAUUAGGUCAAACACGUAGUGGGGGGGUUUGAAAGUGUUUGAGAUGAGAAUUAAACUAAAUUAAAACUGGAAAUUAAAUUAAACCAAACAUAAUUGAAAACAUUAAAAUAAAUGGACAAAGCAUGAAGACCGAACGGUCCUAUAGGUGACCGAACAGUUCUACAUUGAGACCGAACGAUUUCUAAAAGAAGUGAAAAGAUUAGAGAUGCAGGAAGAUAAAAAGACCGAACAAAAUAAAUAGCAUAGGAAAUGGAAAAAGUAAACAUAACAGAAAACACUAAAAUAAAAUAUUCAAUACGGCGUGAACAAAUUGUAAUGCAUAAAAUAAAUAAGUAAAGACAUUCAAUGCUUAAUUAUUUGGACCAAUUACGAUGCAACAGUUAAGCUAUAAACUAAAGGCUCAUUNCAUUAAANAAAGNAAAAAAANANAANANAA
This 439-nucleotide long non-coding RNA is filed under the name Vigna radiata. RNAcentral's name for it is "long non-coding RNA (VRAD_LNC006120)". The record is from RNAcentral. Lineage: Eukaryota; Viridiplantae; Streptophyta; Magnoliopsida; Fabales; Fabaceae.